Molecule: non-coding RNA, 2186 nt
Organism: Biomphalaria pfeifferi
Lineage: Eukaryota; Metazoa; Mollusca; Gastropoda; Planorbidae
Source: the annotation of a GenBank genome assembly
CUUUAAAGAUUCAAAAGAUACAAAAAAUUUAUUUCUCUAUUCAUUAUAAAACAUUUGAUUUCAAAUCAUUUAUAAAACACUGUGUUAUUCAAUAUUUAAUCAUAUUAAUAAUAAUAAGAAGAAGAAGAAUUAAAAUAAAUCAACACCUGAAUCAACCUUGUAAUUUGAUACCUAGAAGGCCUACUUAAUCUUCUAGAUCUAACUUAUUGACCAGAUUUCUUACACAGAUAUACAAGAUACAUGCAAAACUAAAAGCAGUUAAACUGUGUGUAGACAAACUGGCACAAAUUAUUUCAUUUUGCGAUACAAUUUUAUAACAGCACACAUUUUGUUUUCGAAAUGUAUGAUUGAAAUAGUUUAGCUCUACCCCAAGAAAAAUUCUGGCCAAAGUGGAAUACUGUAAUGACGCAAUCGUGUCCUCCGCACAGUACGUCACUGUUUUAACACUUCAUUUUAAGUUGUUUUUUUUCUAGCUGAGUUUCUUGAGAUUUCUGUGUUUCUUUGUUUUACUUUAUUUCAUUUAAUAUGCAUACUGCCCAUAUGAUUUUUAGAGUAGACUCAGCAGGAACUAAAACGUGAACAUCGAAUGAAUUGAACAGAGACUUUUAAAUGUACAUGUGUCUAACACAAGACUGACUUUGGGUAAAAGUAACGAGACCUAGGUUGAAAGCAAUAGAUGAUUGAAAUACAAACAGAUUCAGAUGAAAGCACUUUGGGGGCAUGUGUACAGGUUACAUCAGAAAGACAAUUAGGCACACAUUGACUGGACACAGAAGGUGGGUCAGUCAAUGCCAUCGGGUGACCAUCAGAAAACAUUAACUGGCUGGACAAAUGGUGCCGCAAAGUAUAGAGUGGUUCUCACUGCGAUCGAACACACACGCAAAUCAUCAAAAGUUUCACAUUUAAAAAAAAAACAGAUAAACCCAACCAUCUGCGACACUAACCUAUACAAUAUACUUCUAAUACAAACACAUCCAUUCAUCCAAACACGGCUAAAAGAAACAAACAAGUUGAAGCAAAGAUAACACGUGGACAAGUGGUGCCCAUGUGUUCCACAUGGAUGCACAAAACGUGUCCACCUAUCUGGGACUUAACUCUUUCUCUCCGUAAUUCAUUUGCUCAUUACUAUUUCACUACCCCUGUUAUGAUUGGGCUUCAACAGCUUUAUUGUUUGUUAUCAGAAAAUGUUUUAUUUGGUAUAGAAUUAAAGGGAAUUGCAUGCUCUUUUUAUAUAAUUCAAAGUCAAGUUUAAAAAAAUUAACAUUAAUUUAAUUUAAUGAAAUCAAAAUCAACGAUGGUAUCGUCGAUUAGGAGAGAAAGAUUUAAAACCUUGAGAAGCAGAGGAGGAAAAAUGCUUACUAAUACCAAGGUCAAGAGAUCAAUAUUUACAUCAAAUAAGCAAGAGUUCCUUUCAGUCACGUGUUAGAUUCAUUCAAUCUUUAAAAAGCCUAAAAUUUCAAAAUUAACAUAAAUAUAAAAAAAUAAAAGGUUACUGUGAACUGAAGUACAGAGAAUUGAAUUAAGUCAUAUCCAUCACGAUUGGCUGCGACAAUAAGGCAUGUGACUAAUGACAAUUUGCUAAAUAUUAUUCAAAGGGGUCAAUACCGAUUAAAUAUUAAUACACAUUGUCUUAUGAAGUUUGGAGACAUCAAUCACUUACAGUCAAUGUCAGUCUGUAUAACAUAAAAUGUACAUAUAAAACAAAUGAAAGCUCUUAGGGAAGGAAAAAACAUAAAUAGCUUACAAAGCUGAACAAAAAAUAUUAUACAGAUAUCAGAUUACUAUUUCAUUGCCUGCUUCUAUCGACACAGUUUCCACAGCAUUGUGUUCUAGAUAUAGUUACCUACCCUGUAACUUUAAAAAAAAAAAAAAAAAAGGAAUCUGCAAAUUGUGAUACGACUUUGUAAACAAUGAUACGCAUUAAGAUGUUUUAAUAAUGAAAAAUAAAAUAGUAUAAAAAAAUAUGCAAGGGCUAUUAAGUUGGUACUACAAGCAGGAAGUGACAUUUCGCAGCAUUAUAGUCCUACAGACAACUGUCAUACUCUUGAUAUCUACAGACUUUCACUGUUUCUGAUUCUCCCGACCCGGCCAACCAUGUGGCACGUCCCGAACGGCACCCUAUGUUAUCGGUUUCUGCACUAAUCCCUGAGUUCAUUAUGUCCCAGCGCCCCCCCCCCCCCCCCCCC